This 6488-nucleotide long non-coding RNA is filed under the name Salmo salar (Atlantic salmon). Its description in RNAcentral is "lncRNA (ENSSSAG00000083365.1)". The record is from RNAcentral. Lineage: Eukaryota; Metazoa; Chordata; Actinopteri; Salmoniformes; Salmonidae.
AUGAUAUCAUCCAAAUAGGCCGCUGCGUACUGCUGGUGGGGUCGAAGUACUUUGUCCAUCAGGCGCUGGAAUGUGGGUGGGGCUCCGUGGAGACCGAACGGGAGCACCCGGUACUGAUAUAGUCCGUCUGUUGUCGAAAACAGCAUCUUAUCUCGGGAGGAGGCUGUCAACGGUACCUGCCAAUAACCUUUGGUCGGGUCAAGUGUGCUGAUGUACCGGGCCUUUCCCAAUCGGUCGAUGAGUUCGUCCACCCUCGGCAUGGGGUAGGCUUCGAACAAGCUGAUGUCGUUCACCCCCCGGAAAUCGUUACAGAAGCACAGGCUCCUGUCCGGUUUGGGCACCAACACGAUUGGGCUGUACCAUGGACUCUUCAACGACCCCCAUCCUCAGCAUAGCCUCCACCUCCUGUGUCACGGCCUUCCUUCGGGCCUCCGGAAUCCGAUAUGGCCUCUUUCGUACCGUUUCCCCAGGACGGGUACGGAUGUGGUGUUCAAUGAGGGUCGUGUGGCCCGGCUUCUCGGAGAACACCGGCGUGUUCCGAUCGACGAGCUCCCUGAGCUCUUGCUUCUGGGCCGGGUCGAGGUCCCCAUUGCUCGGGACCACCACUGGUACCGUUGGCGUCCUGGGUCCCGACCAUAACACGGCCAAGGCUGCCCUCUCGUACCAUUUCUUCAACAGGUUCACGUGAUAAAUCUGUUGGGGUUUCCAUCUCCCCGGCUGCCAUACACGGUAAUUGACAGGUGCCAGCUUCUCGAUCACCUCGUAUGGCCCGUGCCAUGUUGCCAGGAACUUACUUUCAGCCGUGGGGCUCAAGACCACCCUGUCAAGACACCCUGUCUCCCACCUGGAAUUCUCGGGGCUGGGCUCCACGAUUGUAGGCUUGGGCGCAUUGGGCCUUCUCCAUAUGUUCCCUCACGACUGGCCAUAUGGCUGUCAUCCGCUCCCUCAUCGUCUCCACGUGCUCUACCAUGCUGCGUAAUGAGGUUGGUUGGGCUUCCCACACCUCCUUGGCGAGGUCCAGUAGGUCUGCUUAGCCUCCUCCCGUAGAGGAGUUCAAACGGGGAAAACCCAGUGGAGGACUGGGGUACCUCUCGGAUUGAGAACAUUAGGUGGGGUAGUAGCUGGUCCCAGUUCUUCCCGUCCUGCUCGAUGACCUUCCGCAGCAUUUGUUUGAGCAUUUUAUUGAACCGCUCGAUGAGCCCAUCCAUCUGCGGGUGGAAGACGGAGGUCCGGAUCUGCUUGAUCUGCAGGAGGGCACAUAAAUCUUUCAUUAGGCGGGACAUAAACUCUGUAACUUGGUCUGUCAGGAUCUCGUUCGGGAUGCCCACCCGGCUAAAGAGGUGGAACAGCUCCCGGGCGAUUUCCUUGGAUACCGCCGCCUGUAGGGUAAUGGCCUCGGGAUACCGGGUGGCAAAGUCUACUAUUAUCAGGAUGUACCGGUGUCCUCGUGCUGUUUUUACCAGGGGUCCCACUAUGUCCAUUGCGAUGCGUCCAAGGGCACCCCGAUGAUCGGUAGGGGGACCAGUGGGUUUCGGAAGUGUGCCUUUGGGGCAGUCAUUUGACACUCCGGGCAACUGCGACAGUCGUCUUCCAUGGCCCUCCUCAUCCCGGGCCAGUGGAACCGGGGUGGCGAUCCGUUCCCGGGUCUUCUCCAUUCCCAGGUGCGCCCCCAACAGGUGGGCCAGCUGAAGAACGGUUCCCACGUACCGUCAGGGUAGCAACAAUAUCUCUUGAAGUUUCCCCUGUUGGUGCGACACCUGACACAAAAGGUUAUUCUUGAUUUGGAAAUGGGGGUAUCGCCAGUCACUCACCCCUGGAAGUAGCUGUCCAUCCACCGUUAUCACUUGGGCUGCGGCGGCUUUGAAGUUAGUAUCCUCCCACUGGACCGUCCCGAAUUGUCCCCUCAGUUGGCCCCCGGCGGGUGUCUCGACUGGCCCCUCAAAAUCGAGGAGGGGGAGGCUAGGCUCUUCCUCCCGUGGUUCCCCAGUGGGGUCGGGUUCCGGCACCCCCUCCGACUCCGGACCUGUAGAUACAGGUUGGUCAACCGUUUGCUUCCGGGCUGCACAGGCGAUGGGUCGUCCUCGCUCUCGUCUUCGGCCGGCUCGUACCUUCUUCCUCAGCUCGUGCCCCCACAGGGCCAUGAACAGCGGACAAUCUCGUCCCACUAGGAGAGGUAACGGCAACUCUGGUACUGCACCCACCAUCAUCUGGCAGCUCCCUUGGGGCGUCACGAUGUUGGCCCAUACGGUUGGAUACCGCUUUGUGUCCCCAUGAACACAGGAAAUGGACAUCUCCCUACCACGUUCGGUCUCCUGGUUCAGCAGGCACAUGGUUAUGAGGGUAACCAUACUUCCGGAGUCCAAUAGAGCUUCCGUGUCGUGUCCGUCAACCUUCACCAGGACCAUGGGUGCAGUUGAUUCACUGCGUGACCCACCUCGCCUCCGGGGCUUGCUGAUGGCAUCGAUUCCUCUCGAGCCAGGCAAUUCCAGGCAAUGUGUCCCCGGGUGCCACACUCAAAACCCCUCCUUUGGUCUCCAUCUACCUGGGGUCGUCGGUGGCAGGUCUGGCCCUACCCCAGCCGUCUCUCCAGGGGUUUGCUGUCCUUUGGCCCUGCCGACUGUCAGUUCGGGGUACACAGCAGUGCGGCUGUCCUUCCGACUCCUCGAACGGGUUGCCGACUCGGCCCGGCUCCCACUCAGCAGGGCCUGAGUGUUCUAAUGUGUUUCCACUGCUUCCAGGAGGCCCUCCAAGGUCUGGGGCGCUGCUCUCUUCAUGUCAUGGGGUUGUGCCCGUAGGAAGCGAUCCAGGCCCACUUUGUCUAGGAUGGAGAGGGUGGAUGUGUCGGUUAGGAGCCAUCCCCUGGUGAUGCCCAGUAGGUCGCUCAUCUGGGCUCGGGGCGUCGGGCUAUGAACCUCCAGCUGUGGAAGAGUUGAGCCCAAUGGGCCAGGCUGUACCUGUAGCGGCUGAGUAUCUUCCAUUUAAGUCCGUCGUAGUUAGCCGCCUGUUCAUCGUUCAGGUCCCACUACGCCUUUUGGGCAUUCCCAGAGCGGAACGGGGCCAGCAGACUGGCCCACUUCUGUCUUGGCCAUCCUUCCCGUAGUACCGUCCGUUCAAACGUACAGAGGUAGGUUUCGAUGUCAUCGUCUUCCGUUAGCUUGAGUAAAAACUGGUUUGGAUGCGAUUCAGUAGACUCUCCUCCUUGUAGCUUCCUGAUUUCCUCAAUGAGGAGGACGUUUUGUAGCCGCUGUUCCUCCAGCGUUCGUUCCUGAACCGCCUGUUGGGCCGAGACGAACUGAGCUAUCAACUCGUCCAUGCUGAUGCUGCGUAAACGUCAACCCUGAUCUGACCACGUUAUCAGAGUGCCCACAUUCUCCACCACUUAUGGCAGACCAGGGGGUUGGGUCAAAAUGUUUACACAGAUCAGAUACAGACAGAGAAGGAUUAGCUCAGUUUCAAAGAUGUUUAUUAAAAUAAUAGUUCAAAAAGAAAAGAAUAAGUCUCCCUCAAGAGACCCUCUCCGGGAUACCGUCUUCUGGGCUCCGGGUCUUGCUGUAUCCUGUGGGGAUGAAAAACUCAACUCCCUCCUGUUACCUCUGUAACCGUCCCCAACUAUACAGGAGUCCUUUCUUCCCCCACUCUCUUCCUGUGUGCUGCCCUUCUGGCAGCUUUAUGGGACUUGUACAGCUGAUGAACAACCAGCCCUUGAUUACUCACCAACUCCCAAUCAGCCCCAAUUAGUCCUGGACGGAGAGCCCGUCGAGACCUGGCACGUCCAGCAGAUGGAGCCAUCGCCUCGUGAUGUACACUCUGUCUGUCACCAGGCCUCGACGAGUCUCCCCCUGGUGGCUGACCUGCUGUACGCCACAAUGAAUACAACAGUAUAUAUAGCAUGUUUACAUAGAGAUAUAUAUAUAAACUAUACAACAGUAUAUAUAGCAUGUUAACAUGGGAAUAUAUAUCAUCUAUACAUGAAUAUAACAGUCUAUAUGGGUCCAGUGUUGGUUUCUUGAGGAGGGAAGCGACUCGGGCCAUCUUGAAGUCAGUUGUCAGGGAUGAGUUGGUGAGGGAAGUGAGGAAUGGGAGAAGGUCUCCAGAGAUGAGUUGAUGAAGGAAGUGAGAAGGUCUCCAGAGAUGGUGUGGAGAAGGGAAUGGGGAUGAGUUGAUGAGGGAAGUAAGAAGGUCUCCAGAGAUGGUGUGGAGAAGUGAGGAGGGAAUGGGGUUGAGUUGAUGAGGGAAGUUAGGAAGGGGAGGUCUCCAGAGAUGGUCUGGAGAAGGGAAGAGGGAAUGGGGUUGAGUUGAUGAGGGAAGUUAGGAAGGGGAGGUCUCCAGAGAUGGUCUGGAGAAGGGAAGAGGGAAUGGGGUUGAGUUGAUGAGGGAAGUGAGGAAGGGGAGGUCUCCAGAGAUGGUCUAGAGAAGGGAAGAGGGAAUGGGGUUGAGUUGAUGAGGGAAGUGAGGAAGGGGAGGUCUCCAGAGAUGGUCUAGAGAAGGGAAGAGGGGUUGAGUGGGCAGGUUGUCGGGCGGACGGACAUCACUAAUCGCAGGAUUUUAUCUGGAGUGAGAGGGGAGAAUGAGGUCAAGGUGUAUGGUAGUUAUGGAGAGAGAUGGGAGAAAGAGGUCAAGGUGUAUGGUAGUUAUGGAGAGAGAUGGGAUAAAGAGGUCAAGGUGUAUGGUAGUUAUGGAGAGAGAGGGGAGAAAGAGGUCAAGGUGUAUGGUAGUUAUGGAGAGAGAGGGGAGAAAGAGGUCAAGGCGUAUGGUAGUUAUGGAGAGAGAUGGGAGAAAGAGGUCAAGGCGUAUGGUAGUUAUGGAGAGAGAGGGGAGAAAGAGGUCAAGCCGUAUGGUAGUUAUGGAGAGAGAGGGGAGAAAGAGGUCAAGGCGUAUGGUAGUUAUGGAGAGAGAGGGGAGAAAGAGGUCAAGGUGUAUGGUAGUUUUGUGUGAGUGGGACCAGUGGACUCAAUAGGCUGAGUGAAUGAGGAGCAGAUGUCGUCUGGAGAGAGAUGGGAGAAAGAGGUCAAGGCGUAUGGUAGUUAUGGAGAGAGAGGGGAGAAAGAGGUCAAGGUGUAUGGUAGUUAUGGAGAGAGAGGGGAGAAAGAGGUCAAGGCGUAUGGUAGUUAUGGAGAGAGAUGGGAGAAAGAGGUCAAGGCGUAGGGUAGUUAUGGAGAGAGAGGGGAGAAAGAGGUCAAGGCGUAUGGUAGUUAUGGAGAGAGAGGGGAUAAAGAGGUCAAGGCGUAUGGUAGUUAUGGAGAGAGAGGGGAGAAAGAGGUCAAGGUGUAUGGUAGUUAUGGAGAGAGAGGGGAGAAAGAGGUCAAGGCGUAUGGUAGUUAUGGAGAGAGAUGGGAUAAAGAGGUCAAGGCGUAUGGUAGUUAUGGAGAGAGAGGGGAGAAAGAGGUCAAGGCGUAUGGUAGUUAUGGAGAGAGAGGGGAGAAAGAGGUCAAGGCGUAUGGUAGUUAUGGAGAGAGAUGGGAGAACGAGGUCAAGGUGUAUGGUAGUUAUGGAGAGAGAGGGGAGAAAGAGGUCAAGGUGUAUGGUAGUUAUGGAGAGAGAGGGGAGAAUGAGGUCAAGGCGUAUGGUAGUUAUGGAGAGAGAGGGGAGAAAGAGGUCAAGGCGUAUGGUAGUUAUGGAGAGAGAUGGGAGAACGAGGUCAAGGUGUAUGGUAGUUAUGGAGAGAGAUGGGAUAAAGAGGUCAAGGUGUAUGGUAGUUAUGGAGAGAGAGGGGAGAAAGAGGUCAAGGCGUAUGGUAGUUAUGGAGAGAGAGGGGAGAAAGAGGUCAAGGCGUAUGGUAGUUAUGGAGAGAGAGGGGAGAAAGAGGUCAAGGUGUAUGGUAGUUAUGGAGAGAGAGGGGAGAAAGAGGUCAAGGCGUAUGGUAGUUAUGUGUGAGUGGGACCAGUGGACUCAGUAGGCUGAGUGAAUGAGGAGCAGAUGCCCUCUAGUGACCACUAUUCCAACACUAUAGUCAAUUACUUUGGGCCAAAGUCUCCCAAAGCUGUCUAAUACAUCUGGUCUAAAGUAGUGCACUAGGAAGGGAACAGGGCUCUGGUCUAAAGUAGUGCACUAUGAAGGGAACAGGGCUCUGGUCUAAAGUAGUGCACUAUGAAGGGAACAGGGCUCUGGUCUAAAGUAGUGCACUAUGAAGGGAACAGGGCUCUGGUCUAAAGUAGUGCACUAUGAAGGGAACAGGGCUCUGGUCUAAAGUAGUGCACUAUGAAGGGAACAGGGCUCUGGUCUACAGUAGUGCACUAUGAAGGGAACAGGGCUCUGGUCUACAGUAGUGCACUAUGAAGGGAACAGGGCUCCGUAGAGGAAUUUGGUGCCAUUUUAGAUUGGCCCUGUGUAUAUGCAACAUGAUAUAUCUAAUGUUGUUAGAUUAUAUAUAUUAGUGUAAAUUAUGUUAUUUGAUCUAUAUUAAUGUAAAUGAUGCUGUAUGAUGUAAAUGUCUCAGAAAAUAAACUGCCUGAUCCCGAAAGAACCAAUAAAAACCCAGAUGACAAAGC